Leopardus geoffroyi (Geoffroy's cat) is the source of this 683-nucleotide long non-coding RNA. RefSeq lists it as uncharacterized. The transcript is spliced from 3 exons. The record is from RefSeq and is a predicted model, not a curated record. Lineage: Eukaryota; Metazoa; Chordata; Mammalia; Carnivora; Felidae.
CAGAUGCAUAACUGACUGAGCCACCCGUGUGCCCCUGGGAUGGGUGAUUCUUAUGGCCAGAAAAGGUUAGGAAACACUGCUCUAUUCCAUGCUCAUCGCAAUGCGUUGCAACUGUCUCUGUUGGUGGCCAUGGUAACCAUCUGGCCUGCUGGACUGUCUCUUGAGGGCAGUACCACAUCUACGUCCAUAGCACAUAGAGCAAUGUCUGGCACGUACCUUGAAUAAAAGAGUCAAUCAACGGAGAAACCAUGCAUCAUUUGAAUGACUUCACAGUCCAGAGCGUUCUGGCUUACUCAUCAUGCUAUUACUCCCUGCCAAGGUAGCUUCACCUACAUUAUGAAAAUAAUGUGUGCAUCUGGCUAAAGAAUCCAAACAGUUCAGAAACGUGCAAAACACAAAGCAGAAAUCUCCUUUCCCCGCUCUGUCCUCGUCUCCCAUCCCGCGAGCAUCUGGAGGCAGGAGUCAUGGAAAUGAUUGGUAGUAAAGGUCAAGAUCACAUUGGGGGAGAGCUGAAAUCAAAUAACAUUAUCUGAUACUGUGGUGCGAGAACAUGGACAUCAGAGGGAGAGAAUGUUUGGGUUUGGGUUGGAGUCCUUUCCCUGUCAUGUAUCCACUCACAACCUUAGCGAGUAAAUGACUUUUCUGAGUUUCCUUUCGUGUAUCUUUAAAGGAUGUCAGUAAGA